GACGAACGCUGGCGGCGUGCUUAACACAUGCAAGUCGAACGAUGAAGCUGGAGCUUGCUCCGGUGGAUUAGUGGCGAACGGGUGAGUAACACGUGAGCAAUCUGCCCUUGACUCUGGGAUAACUGCGGGAAACUGUAGCUAAUACCGGAUACGAGAUUUGGAGGCAUCUCCGGAUCUGGAAAGAAUUUCGGUCAAGGAUGAGCUCGCGGCCUAUCAGCUUGUUGGUGAGGUAAUGGCUCACCAAGGCGACGACGGGUAGCCGGCCUGAGAGGGUGACCGGCCACACUGGGAUUGAGACACGGCCCAGACUCCUACGGGAGGCAGCAGUGGGGAAUAUUGCACAAUGGGCGAAAGCCUGAUGCAGCAACGCCGCGUGAGGGAUGAAGGCCUUCGGGUUGUAAACCUCUUUUAGUAGGGAAGAAGCGAAAGUGACGGUACCUACAGAAAAAGCACCGGCUAACUACGUGCCAGCCGCCGCGGUAA
This 483-nucleotide ribosomal RNA is filed under the name uncultured bacterium. RNAcentral's name for it is "partial 16S ribosomal RNA". It matches the Rfam family "Bacterial small subunit ribosomal RNA", at positions 28 to 523 of the family's 1533-position model. The record is from RNAcentral.